ACAAACUUGGUCAUUUAGAGGAAGUAAAAGUCGUAACAAGGUUUCCGUAGGUGAACCUGCGGAAGGAUCAUUAACGAUUUCGGUUUACGCCGUUUUCUACCUUUGUCUAUGCGUACCACAUGUUUCCUCGGGGGGCUUGCCCCCCGUUAGGACUCAACAUCAACCUUUUGUAAUAGCAAUCAGCGUCUGAAAAUAAGUUAAUUAUUAAAACUUUCAACAAUGGAUCUCUUGGUUCUGGCAUCGAUGAAGAACGCAGC
Molecule: unclassified non-coding RNA, 257 nt
Filed under: uncultured fungus
Lineage: Eukaryota; Fungi
Description: partial contains small subunit ribosomal RNA, internal transcribed spacer 1, and 5.8S ribosomal RNA
Rfam family: Eukaryotic small subunit ribosomal RNA (bases 1-73)
Source: RNAcentral